RNAcentral lists this ribosomal RNA (559 nucleotides) under uncultured bacterium. Its description in RNAcentral is "bacterial SSU rRNA". It matches the Rfam family "Bacterial small subunit ribosomal RNA", at positions 120 to 674 of the family's 1533-position model. The record is from RNAcentral.
GGGAAACUGCCUGAUGGAGGGGGAUAACUACUGGAAACGGUAGCUAAUACCGCAUAACCUCGCAAGAGCAAAGAGGGGGACCUUAGGGCCUCUCGCCAUCAGAUGUGCCCAGAUGGGAUUAGCUAGUAGGUGAGGUAAUGGCUCACCUAGGCGACGAUCCCUAGCUGGUCUGAGAGGAUGACCAGCCACACUGGAACUGAGACACGGUCCAGACUCCUACGGGAGGCAGCAGUGGGGAAUAUUGCACAAUGGGCGCAAGCCUGAUGCAGCCAUGCCGCGUGUGUGAAGAAGGCCUUCGGGUUGUAAAGCACUUUCAGCGAGGAGGAAGGCGGUAAGGUUAAUAACCUUAUCGAUUAACGUUACUCGCAGAAGAAGCACCGGCUAACUCCGUGCCAGCAGCCGCGGUAAUACGGAGGGUGCAAGCGUUAAUCGGAAUGACUGGGCGUAAAGCGCACGCAGGCGGUCUGUUAAGUUGGAUGUGAAAUCCCCGGGCUUAACCUGGGAACUGCAUUCAAAACUGACAGGCUAGAGUCUUGUAGAGGGGGGUAGAAUUCCAGGU